RNAcentral lists this ribosomal RNA (427 nucleotides) under uncultured prokaryote. RNAcentral's name for it is "bacterial SSU rRNA". It matches the Rfam family "Bacterial small subunit ribosomal RNA", at positions 355 to 774 of the family's 1533-position model. The record is from RNAcentral.
CUAAGAAUCUUCCGCAAUGGGCGAAAGCCUGACGGAGCGACGCCGCGUGAACGAAGAAGGCAGAGAUGUUGUAACGUUCUUUUCCUGUUGAAGAAUAAGUGGAAGAGGGAAUGCUUCUAUGAUGACGUUAGACAGGGAAUAAGCCACGGCUAAUUACGUGCCAGCAGCCGCGGUAACACGUAAGUGGCGAGCGUUGUUCGGAUUAAUUGGGCGUAAAGGGCGUGUAGGCGGCGUAUCAAGCUUGGUGUGAAAUAUUUCGGCUUAACCGAAAAAACGCGCUGAGAUAUGAUAUGCUAGAGUUCAAGAGGGGGAGUUAGUAUUCCAGGGGUAGGGGUGACAUCUGUAGAUAUCUGGAAGAAUACCGGUGGCGAAGGCGAACUCCUGGCAAUGAACUGACGCUGAGGCGCGAAAGCGUGGGUAGCGAACA